AAGUCGUAACAAGGUCUCCGUUGGUGAACCAGCGGAGGGAUCAUUACCAGAGUGCCCUAGGCUCUCCAACCCAUUGUGAACUUACCAAACGUUCCCUCGGCGGGCUCAGCGCGCGGUGGCCUCCGGGCCUCCGGGCGUCCGCCGGGGAAAACCAAACCCUGAUUUAAUCGUAUUUCUCUGAGGGGCGAAAGCCCGAAAACAAAAUGAAUCAAAACUUUCAACAACGGAUCUCUUGGCUCUGGCAUCGAUGC
RNAcentral lists this unclassified non-coding RNA (251 nucleotides) under Sarocladium bactrocephalum. RNAcentral's name for it is "partial internal transcribed spacer region". The stretch from base 1 to 46 matches the Rfam family "Eukaryotic small subunit ribosomal RNA", at positions 1786 to 1831 of the family's 1831-position model. The record is from RNAcentral. Lineage: Eukaryota; Fungi; Ascomycota; Sordariomycetes; Hypocreales; Sarocladiaceae.